CAGCCGUAAACAAUGUGCGUUAGGUGUGUCGGUAACCACGUGUUACUGAUGCGCCGAAGAGAAAUCGUGAAACGCACCACCUGGGAAGUACGGUCGCAAGGCUGAAACUUAAAGGAAUUGGCGGGGGAGCACCACAACAGGUGGAGCCUGCGGUUUAAUUGGAUUCAACGCCGGACAUCUCACCGGAUAAGACAGCUGAAUGAUUGUCAGGUUGAUGACCUUGCUUGACAAGCUGAGAGGUGGUGCAUGGCGUAGUCGUGU
This 261-nucleotide ribosomal RNA is filed under the name uncultured archaeon. RNAcentral's name for it is "partial 16S ribosomal RNA". It matches the Rfam family "Archaeal small subunit ribosomal RNA", at positions 748 to 1009 of the family's 1478-position model. The record is from RNAcentral.